AUCAAUUCUAAAAAUAUCUGGAAUAACUUUAAAUGUAUUUAGUACAGAAUUAAAUUUAAAUAAAAAAAUGUUAAGAUUUUUUUAAUAUUAGAAUAUAAAUUAUAUUAAUUAUAUGAUUUAAUCUUCUAAUAUCAAAUUGAAUUAUAAAUUUAUUAUUAUAUAUAUCUUAACAGUAAAGUUAUAUUAUAUUUAAUUAAUAUUUAAAUUAAUAAUGUUAAAAUUAGUAAAUAACAUUUAUUUUAUUUAGGAACUCGGCAAAAAUAUUAUUCAUCUGUUUAUCAAAAACAUAGUUUUAUGUAGUGUAUAUAUAAAAUGAAACCUGCCCACUGAUUAUAAUUUAACGGCCGCAGUACCUUGACUGUGCUAAGGUAGCAUAAUAAAUUGACUCUUAAUUAGGGCCUUGAAUGAAUGGAUAAAUGGAUAAUUUCUGUCUUAAUAAAAAUUAUUUUAAAUUACUUAAAAGGUGAAAAUUCCUUUAAUUUAUAUAAUAGACGAGAAGACCCUAGGAGUUUUAAGUUUUGUUGGGGCGACAAUAUAGCAUUUAACCUAUAUUUAAUAAUAUUAUAAAACGAAUAAUUUUAAUAAUAAAUAAACUACUCCUAGGGAUAACAGCACAAUUUAAUUUUAAGUUUGUGACCUCGAUGUUGGACUAGGAAC
This 657-nucleotide ribosomal RNA is filed under the name Fastosarion papillosus. Its description in RNAcentral is "partial 16S large subunit ribosomal RNA". The stretch from base 269 to 419 matches the Rfam family "Archaeal large subunit ribosomal RNA", at positions 1889 to 2083 of the family's 2987-position model. Lineage: Eukaryota; Metazoa; Mollusca; Gastropoda; Stylommatophora; Helicarionidae. The record is from RNAcentral.